This 468-nucleotide ribosomal RNA is filed under the name uncultured bacterium. RNAcentral's name for it is "partial 16S ribosomal RNA". It matches the Rfam family "Bacterial small subunit ribosomal RNA", at positions 28 to 507 of the family's 1533-position model. The record is from RNAcentral.
GACGAACGCUGGCGGCGUGCUUAACACAUGCAAGUCGAACGGAAAGGCCCUGCUUUUGUGGGGUGCUCGAGUGGCGAACGGGUGAGUAACACGUGAGUAACCUGCCCUUGACUUUGGGAUAACUUCAGGAAACUGGGGCUCUUAUCGGAUAGGAGCUCCUGCUGCAUGUUGGGGGUUGGAAAGUUUCGGCGGUUGUGGAUGGACUCGCGGCUUAUCAGCUUGUUGGUGGGGUAGUGGCUUACCAAGGCUUUGACGGGUAGCCGGCCUGAGAGGGUGAACGGCGACCAGGGGACUAAGAUAGGGCCCAGACUCCAACGGGAGGCAGCAGUGGGGAAUAUUGCACAGUGGGCGGAAGCCAGAGGCAGCAACCCCGCGUGCGGGAUGACGGCCUUCGGGUUGUGAACCGCUUUCGCCUGUAACGAGGCGUGAGUGACGGUAAUGGGUAAAAAAGCACCGGCUAACUACGUG